Molecule: ribosomal RNA, 576 nt
Filed under: uncultured eukaryote
Lineage: Eukaryota
Description: SSU rRNA
Rfam family: Eukaryotic small subunit ribosomal RNA
Source: RNAcentral
UAAAAACCCCGACUUCGGAAGGGGUGUAUUUAUUAGAUACAAAACCAAUGCCCUUCGGGGCUCUUUGGUGAUUCAUGAUAACUAUACGAAUCGCACGGCCUUGCGCCGGCGAUGGUUCAUUCAAAUUUCUUCCCUAUCAACUUUCGAUGUUUGGGUAUUGGCCAAACAUGGUUGCAACGGGUAACGGAGGGUUAGGGCUCGACCCCGGAGAAGGAGCCUGAGAAACGGCUACUACAUCCAAGGAAGGCAGCAGGCGCGCAAAUUACCCAAUCCCGACUCGGGGGGGUAGUGACAAUAAAUACUGAUACAGGGCCCUUUCGGGCCUUGUAAUUGGAAUGAGUACAAUUUAAAUCCCUUAACGAGGAACAAUUGGAGGGCAAGUCUGGUGCCAGCAGCCGCGGUAAUUCCAGCUCCAAUAGCGUAUAUUAAAGUUGUUGUGGUUAAAAAGCUCGUAGUUGAACCUUGGGCCUGGCUGGCCGGUCCGCCUCACCGCGUGCACUGGUCCGGCCGGGCCUUUCCCUCUGUGGAACCCCAUACCCUUCACUGGGCGUGGCGGGGAAACAGGACAUUUACUUU